This 1313-nucleotide ribosomal RNA is filed under the name Bacillus pumilus. RNAcentral's name for it is "bacterial SSU rRNA". It matches the Rfam family "Bacterial small subunit ribosomal RNA", at positions 57 to 1354 of the family's 1533-position model. Lineage: Bacteria; Bacillati; Bacillota; Bacilli; Caryophanales; Bacillaceae. The record is from RNAcentral.
GCAAGUCGAGCGGACAGAAGGGAGCUUGCUCCCGGAUGUUAGCGGCGGACGGGUGAGUAACACGUGGGUAACCUGCCUGUAAGACUGGGAUAACUCCGGGAAACCGGAGCUAAUACCGGAUAGUUCCUUGAACCGCAUGGUUCAAGGAUGAAAGACGGUUUCGGCUGUCACUUACAGAUGGACCCGCGGCGCAUUAGCUAGUUGGUGAGGUAACGGCUCACCAAGGCGACGAUGCGUAGCCGACCUGAGAGGGUGAUCGGCCACACUGGGACUGAGACACGGCCCAGACUCCUACGGGAGGCAGCAGUAGGGAAUCUUCCGCAAUGGACGAAAGUCUGACGGAGCAACGCCGCGUGAGUGAUGAAGGUUUUCGGAUCGUAAAGCUCUGUUGUUAGGGAAGAACAAGUGCAAGAGUAACUGCUUGCACCUUGACGGUACCUAACCAGAAAGCCACGGCUAACUACGUGCCAGCAGCCGCGGUAAUACGUAGGUGGCAAGCGUUGUCCGGAAUUAUUGGGCGUAAAGGGCUCGCAGGCGGUUUCUUAAGUCUGAUGUGAAAGCCCCCGGCUCAACCGGGGAGGGUCAUUGGAAACUGGGAAACUUGAGUGCAGAAGAGGAGAGUGGAAUUCCACGUGUAGCGGUGAAAUGCGUAGAGAUGUGGAGGAACACCAGUGGCGAAGGCGACUCUCUGGUCUGUAACUGACGCUGAGGAGCGAAAGCGUGGGGAGCGAACAGGAUUAGAUACCCUGGUAGUCCACGCCGUAAACGAUGAGUGCUAAGUGUUAGGGGGUUUCCGCCCCUUAGUGCUGCAGCUAACGCAUUAAGCACUCCGCCUGGGGAGUACGGUCGCAAGACUGAAACUCAAAGGAAUUGACGGGGGCCCGCACAAGCGGUGGAGCAUGUGGUUUAAUUCGAAGCAACGCGAAGAACCUUACCAGGUCUUGACAUCCUCUGACAACCCUAGAGAUAGGGCUUUCCCUUCGGGGACAGAGUGACAGGUGGUGCAUGGUUGUCGUCAGCUCGUGUCGUGAGAUGUUGGGUUAAGUCCCGCAACGAGCGCAACCCUUGAUCUUAGUUGCCAGCAUUCAGUUGGGCACUCUAAGGUGACUGCCGGUGACAAACCGGAGGAAGGUGGGGAUGACGUCAAAUCAUCAUGCCCCUUAUGACCUGGGCUACACACGUGCUACAAUGGACAGAACAAAGGGCUGCGAGACCGCAAGGUUUAGCCAAUCCCACAAAUCUGUUCUCAGUUCGGAUCGCAGUCUGCAACUCGACUGCGUGAAGCUGGAAUCGCUAGUAAUCGCGGAUCAGCA